AUGUCUAUUUAAUUAUAAUAAUUAAAUGCAUAGAAAAUAUUUUUUUGAACGAGCCAAACAAAAAUUAAUUUUUUUGACUUUGGUGUACUAUUUAAAAAGAUGUCUGCCGUGGUAACCUUGUAAAGGAGCAGUAUUGCCAUUAUGAGUCGUAUCUUGUAUAAAAUAACAAGUACGCCUUUGUGCUUAUUAAUGCUGUUCCGUGGUUUUUCAAUGAAUUUUCGCCCGGCGCCUUAAAUGGCAUCUUUAUGCUAGCGUUACGCGCGUUUGGUAUAAAUAUUGUAGAAAAAUUAAUAUUUUUCUUUAUUUAAUAUCCAGGCGUUAGCGUAUCAGCCGGCCGGUGCAUUUGUCGUUUGAAAUUUUAUAUUUCUUACUGACAUUAAUGCACCAAACCGCUUUGAAGCAAAACAUUUUUAAAAUUUAUUUUUUAAAAAAUAUUUGUCUAUCAAAAACGGCUUAUCGAAUUCUGAAAAAUUAUAUAAUUU
This 482-nucleotide unclassified non-coding RNA is filed under the name Leptopilina sp. BN-2010d. RNAcentral describes it as "partial ITS1". Lineage: Eukaryota; Metazoa; Arthropoda; Insecta; Hymenoptera; Figitidae. The record is from RNAcentral.